UAGCUACAGGCUUAACACAUGCAAGUCGAGGGGCAGCAUGGUCUUAGCUUGCUAAGGCUGAUGGCGACCGGCGCACGGGUGAGUAACACGUAUCCAACCUGCCGUCUACUCUUGGCCAGCCUUCUGAAAGGAAGAUUAAUCCAGGAUGGGAUCAUGAGUUCACAUGUCCGCAUGAUUAAAGGUAUUUUCCGGUAGACGAUGGGGAUGCGUUCCAUUAGAUAGUAGGCGGGGUAACGGCCCACCUAGUCAACGAUGGAUAGGGGUUCUGAGAGGAAGGUCCCCCACAUUGGAACUGAGACACGGUCCAAACUCCUACGGGAGGCAGCAGUGAGGAAUAUUGGUCAAUGGGCGAUGGCCUGAACCAGCCAAGUAGCGUGAAGGAUGACUGCCCUAUGGGUUGUAAACUUCUUUUAUAAAGGAAUAAAGUCGGGUAUGCAUACCCGUUUGCAUGUACUUUAUGAAUAAGGAUCGGCUAACUCCGUGCCAGCAGCCGCGGUAAUACGGAGGAUCCGAGCGUUAUCCGGAUUUAUUGGGUUUAAAGGGAGCGUAGAUGGAUGUUUAAGUCAGUUGUGAAAGUUUGCGGCUCAACCGUAAAAUUGCAGUUGAUACUGGAUGUCUUGAGUGCAGUUGAGGCAGGCGGAAUUCGUGGUGUAGCGGUGAAAUGCUUAGAUAUCACGAAGAACUCCGAUUGCGAAGGCAGCCUGCUAAGCUGCAACUGACAUUGAGGCUCGAAAGUGUGGGUAUCA
This 746-nucleotide ribosomal RNA is filed under the name uncultured Bacteroidales bacterium. RNAcentral's name for it is "bacterial SSU rRNA". It matches the Rfam family "Bacterial small subunit ribosomal RNA", at positions 37 to 770 of the family's 1533-position model. Lineage: Bacteria; Pseudomonadati; Bacteroidota; Bacteroidia; Bacteroidales. The record is from RNAcentral.